UAGGGAAUCUUCCACAAUGGACGAAAGUCUGAUGGAGCAACGCCGCGUGAGUGAAGAAGGUUUUCGGAUCGUAAAGCUCUGUUGUUGGUGAAGAAGGAUAGAGGCAGUAACUGGUCUUUAUUUGACGGUAAUCAACCAGAAGCCACGGCUAACUACGUACCAG
Molecule: ribosomal RNA, 163 nt
Filed under: uncultured bacterium
Lineage: Bacteria
Description: partial 16S rRNA
Rfam family: Bacterial small subunit ribosomal RNA
Source: RNAcentral